UACGUAGGGUGCAAGCGUUAAUCGGAAUUACUGGGCGUAAAGCGUGCGCAGGCGGUUUUGUAAGCCAGAUGUGAAAUCCCCGGGCUUAACCUGGGAAUGGCAUUUGGGACUGCAAGGCUCGAGUGCGGCAGAGGAGACUGGAAUUCCUGGUGUAGCAGUGAAAUGCGUAGAUAUCAGGAGGAACACCGAUGGCGAAGGCAGCUCUCUGGGACGUGACUGACGCUGAGACGCGAAAGCGUGGGGAGCGAACAGG
Molecule: ribosomal RNA, 253 nt
Filed under: uncultured bacterium
Lineage: Bacteria
Description: partial 16S ribosomal RNA
Rfam family: Bacterial small subunit ribosomal RNA
Source: RNAcentral